Molecule: long non-coding RNA, 587 nt
Filed under: Gallus gallus (chicken)
Lineage: Eukaryota; Metazoa; Chordata; Aves; Galliformes; Phasianidae
Description: lncRNA (ENSGALG00010005120.1)
Source: RNAcentral
AAGCCAUCCUCUCGCAGGACCCAGAUGCUCUGUUCUUUCUUUGCCACUCAACAAAUCAAUACCAUACCCCUAAGCCCGCCUUUCCCUGGGGAAUGCCGGCUGCCUCUCUGCCCCCACGCAGCUGACCGAGGCUGCACAGCUCUCAGCUCACGUGCUGCUUUCAGAGGAGGAAAUGAAUGCAACGACUCCUGUCCAGCUCAGGAGGGGGAAGUCUUUCCUGAUACUGAAAGAAAAGACUCGCAGCACCAUCUGUCCGCAUCAGAUCCCAUCUGAUCUCUCUCUUUCCCAACUGCCAGGAGCCACAGCUGCCCCUCCAGCCUCGGUUCUCAGCCGCCUCACCACCUCCUCCAGUCUUGCCAGCUCCCCAUUGCCUUUGUCAGCUCCAUUCUCCAAGCUCAGCACUUUAGCCAGCUGCAUGUAAAAUUCCACCCCUUUGAGCCAGGAAAACUCCCUGCUGUCGCUCUCCUAGGUCAUUAGAAAUAAAUAAAUAUAUGCCAUCGCUGACCUAAAUUAGGAUUAUUAUUUUUUUCCUCCUCGUGGCAUGAAGGAAACCCCAUGCAACUGCAUUUUAAGAUGUCUUCUCUCGG